RNAcentral lists this long non-coding RNA (215 nucleotides) under Lathyrus oleraceus (garden pea). Its description in RNAcentral is "Pisum sativum (pea) long non-coding RNA (PSAT_LNC025662)". Lineage: Eukaryota; Viridiplantae; Streptophyta; Magnoliopsida; Fabales; Fabaceae. The record is from RNAcentral.
UUUUUUUCACCUUAUUGACUUUCCUAUCUUCACAACAUAGAACCAUAAAAAAUCAAUCUCUCGUCACAACAUAUUCACCAUUCACUCAAUUUCCUUUACCUUCCACGAUCUCUCUUCACACAAAAAAAGAUAAAAACAAUAUAAACAUAGUAAUAUAACACAUCAUAAACACAUAUGCACUCACUGCUUCUUCCGCCGUUUUUUCAUAUUCUUUC